UUAAUGGAGAGUUUGAUCCUGGCUCAGGACGAACGCUGGCGGCGUGCCUAAUACAUGCAAGUCGAGCGGGGUUACUUAGAAGCUUGCUUCUAAGUAACCUAGCGGCGGACGGGUGAGUAACACGUAGGCAACCUGCCCACAAGAC
Molecule: ribosomal RNA, 145 nt
Filed under: Paenibacillus ottowii
Lineage: Bacteria; Bacillati; Bacillota; Bacilli; Caryophanales; Paenibacillaceae
Description: Paenibacillus sp. MS2379 partial 16S ribosomal RNA
Rfam family: Bacterial small subunit ribosomal RNA
Source: RNAcentral